Molecule: ribosomal RNA, 519 nt
Filed under: uncultured bacterium
Lineage: Bacteria
Description: partial 16S ribosomal RNA
Rfam family: Bacterial small subunit ribosomal RNA
Source: RNAcentral
UGGGAAUUUUGGACAAUGGGGGCAACCCUGAUCCAGCCAUCCCGCGUGUGCGAUGAAGGCCUUCGGGUUGUAAAGCACUUUUGGCAGGGAAGAAACAGCCUGGGAUAAUACCCCGGGCGACUGACGGUACCUGCAGAAGUAAGCACCGGCUAACUACGUGCCAGCAGCCGCGGUAAUACGUAGGGUGCAAGCGUUAAUCGGAAUUACUGGGCGUAAAGCGUGCGCAGGCGGUUCGGAAAGAAAGGUGUGAAAUCCCAGGGCUUAACCUUGGAACUGCACUUUUAACUACCGACUAGAGUACGUCAGAGGGGGGUAGAAUUCCACGUGUAGCAGUGAAAUGCGUAGAGAUGUGGAGGAAUACCGAUGGCGAAGGCAGCCCCUGGAUGAUACUGACGCUCAUGCACGAAAGCGUGGGGAGCAAACAGGAUUAGAUACCCUGGUAGUCCACGCCCUAAACGAUGUCAACUAGCUGUUGGGGUUUAUUAACCUUAGUAGCGCAGCUAACGCGUGAAGUUGACC